This 973-nucleotide ribosomal RNA is filed under the name Arthrobacter sp. RNAcentral's name for it is "bacterial SSU rRNA". It matches the Rfam family "Bacterial small subunit ribosomal RNA", at positions 531 to 1500 of the family's 1533-position model. Lineage: Bacteria; Bacillati; Actinomycetota; Actinomycetes; Micrococcales; Micrococcaceae. The record is from RNAcentral.
AAUACAGCGGCGUAUCGGAUUAUUGGGCGUAAGAGCUCGUAGGCGGUUUGUCGCGUCUGCUGUGAAAGACCGGGGCUCAACUCCGGUUCUGCAGUGGGUACGGGCAGACUAGAGUGCAGUAGGGGAGACUGGAAUUCCUGGUGUAGCGGUGAAAUGCGCAGAUAUCAGGAGGAACACCGAUGGCGAAGGCAGGUCUCUGGGCUGUAACUGACGCUGAGGAGCGAAAGCAUGGGGAGCGAACAGGAUUAGAUACCCUGGUAGUCCAUGCCGUAAACGUUGGGCACUAGGUGUGGGGGACAUUCCACGUUUUCCGCGCCGUAGCUAACGCAUUAAGUGCCCCGCCUGGGGAGUACGGCCGCAAGGCUAAAACUCAAAGGAAUUGACGGGGGCCCGCACAAGCGGCGGAGCAUGCGGAUUAAUUCGAUGCAACGCGAAGAACCUUACCAAGGCUUGACAUGAACCGGUAAUACCUGGAAACAGGUGCCCCGCUUGCGGUCGGUUUACAGGUGGUGCAUGGUUGUCGUCAGCUCGUGUCGUGAGAUGUUGGGUUAAGUCCCGCAACGAGCGCAACCCUCGUUCUAUGUUGCCAGCGCGUUAUGGCGGGGACUCAUAGGAGACUGCCGGGGUCAACUCGGAGGAAGGUGGGGACGACGUCAAAUCAUCAUGCCCCUUAUGUCUUGGGCUUCACGCAUGCUACAAUGGCCGGUACAAAGGGUUGCGAUACUGUGAGGUGGAGCUAAUCCCAAAAAGCCGGUCUCAGUUCGGAUUGGGGUCUGCAACUCGACCCCAUGAAGUCGGAGUCGCUAGUAAUCGCAGAUCAGCAACGCUGCGGUGAAUACGUUCCCGGGCCUUGUACACACCGCCCGUCAAGUCACGAAAGUUGGUAACACCCGAAGCCGGUGGCCUAACCCUUGUGGGGGGAGCCGUCGAAGUGGGACCGGCGAUUGGGACUAAGUCGUACCACAAAGGUAGC